This 253-nucleotide ribosomal RNA is filed under the name uncultured bacterium. Its description in RNAcentral is "partial 16S ribosomal RNA". It matches the Rfam family "Bacterial small subunit ribosomal RNA", at positions 524 to 776 of the family's 1533-position model. The record is from RNAcentral.
UACGUAGGGUGCGAGCGUUGUCCGGAUUUAUUGGGCGUAAAGAGCUCGUAGGCGGCUUGUCACGUCGGGUGUGAAAGCCCGGGGCUUAACCCCGGGUCUGCAUUCGAUACGGGCUAGCUAGAGUGUGGUAGGGGAGAUCGGAAUUCCUGGUGUAGCGGUGAAAUGCGCAGAUAUCAGGAGGAACACCGGUGGCGAAGGCGGAUCUCUGGGCCAUUACUGACGCUGAGGAGCGAAAGCGUGGGGAGCGAACAGG